RNAcentral lists this unclassified non-coding RNA (273 nucleotides) under fungal sp. RNAcentral's name for it is "partial internal transcribed spacer region". The stretch from base 1 to 46 matches the Rfam family "Eukaryotic small subunit ribosomal RNA", at positions 1786 to 1831 of the family's 1831-position model. Lineage: Eukaryota; Fungi. The record is from RNAcentral.
AAGUCGUAACAAGGUUUCCGUAGGUGAACCUGCGGAAGGAUCAUUACCGAGUUAGGGUCCUCUGGGCCCGACCUCCCAACCCUUUGUCGUUACCACCUCAGUUGCUUCGGCGGGCCCUGCCUCGAAAGAGGCACGCCGGAGGGGCGUGAAACCCCUUCUGGUCAGUUGCUCGCCGGUAGCACCAACCAUCAAAACUUGCAGUUGAUAACAUUGUCUGAUUACCAAAUUUUCGAAUGAAAAUCAAAACUUUCAACAACGGAUCUCUUGGCUCUC